Molecule: ribosomal RNA, 253 nt
Filed under: uncultured bacterium
Lineage: Bacteria
Description: partial 16S ribosomal RNA
Rfam family: Bacterial small subunit ribosomal RNA
Source: RNAcentral
GACAGAGGGUGCAAACGUUGUUCGGAAUUACUGGGCGUAAAGCGCGUGUAGGCGGCCAUGCAAGUCGGAUGUGAAAGCCCUCGGCUCAACCGGGGAAGUGCACUCGAAACUGCAAGGCUAGAGUCUCGGAGAGGAUCGUGGAAUUCUCGGUGUAGAGGUGAAAUUCGUAGAUAUCGAGAGGAACACCGGUGGCGAAGGCGGCGAUCUGGACGGAUACUGACGCUGAGACGCGAAAGCGUGGGUAGCAAACAGG